Long non-coding RNA from Felis catus (domestic cat), 803 nucleotides. RefSeq lists it as uncharacterized. The record is from RefSeq and is a predicted model, not a curated record. The transcript has 3 exons. Lineage: Eukaryota; Metazoa; Chordata; Mammalia; Carnivora; Felidae.
CGCUUAACCGACUGAGCCACCCAGGCGCCCGGAGGCGGUUUCUUAAGGGGAGGCCGUGUGGGUAUGAACAGCUCCUGAGUUGCCUUCGGAGGCGGACUGACGCCCGCCUCCGUGCGCUGCCGGGCAGAGCCGGGCCGGGGCUGCUUGGUGUCCCGAGGACGGCGAGUCUCUACUCUUUUCUCGCCACACGCCCCCCUCGGCUGACCUGGACGCGUCCCACUUGGGUGGUCCCGGCGUGCGGAAAGGGCGUCGUUCACCUGCAACUGCUUUGUGACGGAGCGUUCCUCCCCGUGACGAACCUUGGUGGCGUUUGGCAGGACGAGCAGCACGGGUGGCCCUGCCAUUCAGGCACCCACGUGCCAGGAAACAGCAGAGACAAAAGAGAAAACUCUGUAACCAUUGGCCUCCACCCAGGAACCUGGAAGAAAAUGAAGCAAGACAAACAACAGAGAAAUGUGAACAGCAAAAGAGCAAACUCAGAUGCAUUAAAUGGCUUAACAGUCUUAUGCUACAGCCCCAGCAGAACCUUCUUUGAAAGACCACAACAACUGCAGUGAUUAAAAAGGAGCCUGAUUCUCCCAGAGCCUAAGCUCCCGGGAGGGGGAGGAAGGUCAAGUGAGGAAUUUGAAGAAGCCAUGUUAACCUUUUCAAUUACAAAAUGCCUGCAGGGACUUGAUUCACGAAACCAGGCUGAAGACCACAAGCAUUUAUGAUCCUUCUAAAUAUACCCAAUGAGCCUCCGGAAGUAUCUCAGGUAGUCAGAACCCAGCUCUGUAAAACACAUAAAUACAUUUUAAAUAGCA